Molecule: long non-coding RNA, 5355 nt
Filed under: Brassica napus (rape)
Lineage: Eukaryota; Viridiplantae; Streptophyta; Magnoliopsida; Brassicales; Brassicaceae
Description: long non-coding RNA (BNAP_LNC000800)
Source: RNAcentral
AAUGUUGUAAUGUUUCUCAAUUAGUAUAUAAGGGAUUACGCACACCAGCAUUACAUAAUUGACAUUACCACUGAUCAUAGUCUAUUUUGAACAAGAAUCUGUGGAGUGAAUAGUGAUCCUUUUCAGUGUCACUUAUGUGGAAAAGGUAGUGAACCACAGCAAUGGAAGUAGCCGUUCGCGUCAUACCAAAACCGUUUUGAGAUCUGAGCCUCUCUGAUUAGAUAUUCACCCCAAUCCGUUCUCCCAAACUCUUUAUGUAUCUCUCGUCCAUCGAAAGUCAUCCCUUUGCUUUUAUCCCUUCUGUAGGUUGCAUUCAUCAUCGUGACAUGUAGCUGCAGAAAGAAAGGAACCCACAUUACUUCAAUCAUUGUCUUUCUCCUAGUAAACGAGAUAUAUAAAAGCAUUUACCUUUAAGCGUGACUUUGCAUCUUUCCCAGCAAAUCCAACAUUCACAAAUGCAUCUAUGAUUAUAUCUGAAUUAUGGAGUUAAAGAAUUCAACAGAUCUUGCAAACUGAAACUAGGAUAUAAAUUCAAGUAUCUAUCUUAAACCAAAGAGGCAUGCGUAAAAAUAAGCUCUUCGAGAUAAUAGGAUGCUACAAGCCCUUAGCAGCCGGCCAUCACCCCCAACUUCUUCAACAGGUGCAUAGAGCACUCGAGUUUUGUCUAAAGAUCCAUUCAUACAAUCCUUAACAAGAGAAAAUAUACAAAGCAUACCUCAAAGUUAUGACUCUAACCACUAUAAAUACUGUAGUAUUUUAUAAAAAAAAAAACAAAAUUGUAGUAACGUAAAACCCAAGGAUGUUACAUCGUACCAAUCCUUUAAGUCGUAUGAGGACAGGGCGGUUAUCCAAAGCAUGCAUCACAUUUGCAGAAACACUCUUAAUUUUCAGAAAAAAAACAAGAUCUCAAUCAUCAAACCAAUCGUAUAGAAGAUGCAUACAGUAUCUCUUUAACUCAUAGGAAUCAAAUUGUAACCUUGAGGAUAUCCUGAGCUGCGUCCACAGCUUCCUUAUUCUCUAACUUUAACAUAACCACGGUCAAGUGUAAACUGUUUGGCGAAAUAAACAUCGACUUUUCGAUUCCCAUUUCUGCUUAAGAUGGCAUGUCAUGAAAACAAGUUUUAUAAUAAAAUUUGUACUCUCCUAUUUUAUUUAUUUUUGUUUUGUUUGAUCUUACCAUCUAAAGUGCUCUGAAACUUCAAAGGUUUCUUAUCGUUAUUGUCACCCAAUAUAUAAUUCCGAAAAGCCUCAACCUUUUGUUUCAGCUCAGGGUAUAUAGCUAAUGGAAGUGAUAUAAAGUGUGUAAACACUUCUCCUUGACCUUGUACAAUCUACCAAACAUUUCAAGAUUCCAGUGAUCACACUAAGGUAAAGAAAAAAAAAAUUUCCAGAAAACUUCUCAACACUGAUGAUGAAGAAUCUGGGAACUAGAUCAGCAAACCUGCUUGCCUUUGGAGACAUGUGGACUUGGAUGGGAAGUGGAAGAUUCCCCGCGAAUCUGUACUGAUGAGCUCUGCUUUGACGAGUUCUUGAACAAAUCUGUUUUCACACGAGUCUUCUCCGAUCACAUACAACACAACUACACAAGCAUAAUCCAGAAACACUAGAGGAGAGAAUCAAGAAAGUCAGAGAGAGACUUUACCCAUUAGCUUGAAGCUGUGAAUUUGCCUGCGUUUAAGACUUUUCAGUUCCACAUUAAAGAUACUGUUUUUAAACAUAUAAAUGAGACUUGGUCAACGACCCCACCAAAGACUCUCCUCACCUAAACCCACAUAACUCGUUAAGUAGUAAUUUUUUUUUUUCCUUUGAACAUUUCGUUAAGUCGUAAUUUGAGAAAAAAGGCUGCUUUGUAAGAAUUAGACAUUUUAAGGCACUAAUUGUAGCUUUAGGUUAAUCAUUAUACUCCUUUUUUUUUUUGAAGGCUCGCAUGCAUUUUUCUUGCGAGCCAUAUUGUGAUACAAAGCGUUUCCACUAAGUCAUGAUGUAUGGAAGUGAUACAAGCAUAAUCCACUCUUGGAGAAUAAAUCAAGAGAGAGAGAGACAUUUUACUCAUAACACGAUUUUGCCGCCGUUUGAGACUUUUUCACGUUCAAUGUCCUUUUAACAUAUAAAUGAGCGUAAUGAAGUUGCAAGGGACAUGGUCAACAUCUCUAACCUAAGCCCACAGAAAACUCCUAAUUUGAAAAACCACUCUUUGUAACGACUCAAGCGGACUAUGUGCAACUUAAUUAAUCAAAGUUACUCAUUGAUUUAACCUCAAGAAUUAGGUUAAUCAAUGACUUAUACACAUGCGUUUCUCUUCCAGCAUUGAUCUUUAAUACUUUUUUGGCAAUAAAUAGUUGUUAUCAUGUAAAAACCUUAAACUCUCAGCGAAUUGGACCCUGUGCAAAAGCACCUUAUGCACAUGGCAAGAACUGCUCCUGUGAUAAUUAAUCUCAUAUUUAUUUGAACCAAGAAAAGAACAUUAGCUUUGUGUUUUAUUUUAAUCAUAUUUCAGGUUGUAAUUACUAAUAGCUAAUAACUAAGUUAAGGAAAACAUUAAUACAAUCACGUUUAAAAACAUUGCAAAUUAGGAGAUAGUAAAAGGGCAAGCAUUCCGAUAGGCUCUCUUCCAGGAUAGAGCUUUUCACGGUUCUCUUAUGAGUUUAUUCUUCACUUUUCGAAACUUGCGAUGGUUUACACCAGGGUGGGGCUCUUGGGUUGCUUAGAAAGAACAUUCUUCUCCAUAGGCAAGAGUCUUGAACAUCUCAUUAGGUAGUGGAACAGAUCAACAGAGGUGUCUAUUCUGAGCUCCACUAUAGGAAACACGAGUUUCAUUGAAGCUACAGCUUCAUAAACACAUCUUCCCGGAGAUUUGGGCAUUUCGUAUCCCAAAACAGACUUGCACAGAUGAUCUAAAGAGGGGCCUUGGAAGCGGGCCAGUACCUAGAAUAGAAGAUUAGCGGUUAAAAUAUUUAUUAACCAAAGGGUCAUUAUAGAGCCAAAGCCCAGUGCUUUGUGGUGAAGCCCAAUCUUCCAAAUAACUAAACAAAAUUAAUUGAACCAAGUAGGCGAGUUAGUAAACCGCGAGAGGGAGAAUUAAAAAUUUAAAAUGAUAAGAAAAAUCGAGACAGCUAUGCUUAGGGAUUGCAACUGGCUAGUAACUAGUUGAUUAUGUUUCCUUAUGAGAAUAUAGAUUUGACCAUUAGCUUGGUAAUCGUACUGCACUACACGGAAAACAUACUAACUAAAUGUAUACUUUACGUAAUGUAGAAGUUUUCAAAAUGGUGACCGGUCCAAUAAAACGAACCAAACAUACAUAACCGGUUUCAAUUGAGUAGACACAAAACAAGUCCAAUCGCACAGUACUAAAAUCUAAAUAUUUUAAUAUAUGUCCAGGUACUCUGAUUAUUACUACUUAAUUUUCUUGAAAGCUUAAGACUAUCUUUUUAAUUAAGACUAGGGUCGGCCCGCCCUACGGGCGGGAUAUAUUUUACUUGUGAUCUAAGUUAUUAUUUUUAUAUGAUUUUGCUGUUUGUGUUUUAGGUUUCCAUUUGCAAGAGAUGUAUAUGAUAUAUUACUAAAAAAAGAUCACAUUACAUCACAUAAAUAGUAUAAAAAGACGAAAGAAUAGCUUGCUUUGUGCUCACUACAUGGCUCCAUAAAAUUAAAAUAAAAUGGUGAAAAUUUGGACCAUUUGUCGAUCUGUGCGUGUCAUCCGGCUAGAGCUUCCGCCCUGGCUUCGAUUCCUCUUGGUAACUCAUGGACGCCUUUAGUAGCAAGAAAAUACAGAUUUUCGUGGAUCUCGUAGUGAUUAGUCAUUGGGCAUAGAAAGCCUUUGGGAUCACACUAUGUUUAUCAAAAAAAAAAUAGUAUCAGAAAAACAAAUGGUAUCAAUUUGAGACACUUAUUAAUAAAUGAUACAAAAUAUCGUUUUAACAUCAGUUAUUGUAAUUGAUGUUGUUAUUAACUUAUCUUUGUCUAUAUUAAUCUUUGUUAAACCAGUGAAGAUCAAUUAAAAGAUACAUUGUAUUUUCAUAUAUGUGUAAAAAUAUGCAGUUUACUCAAAAAUAAAAAUAAUUUUAAUUUUAACUAUUUUUCUGUUGUUCUUAUUAGAAAUCAAAGGUUUGAUAAAUUAAUAAAAGUCUCAAUAAUGUGAUUCUUUUACAUUUUUAGCGUUUGUUAUAUUUUUAUUAUAAAAGUAAGUAAAAUAAAAAUAUUUGACACUACAAUUUAAAUUCAAUACAUAAAUUAUGAAUUAUUUUUCAUUCUUAUAUAUUUGUCUUUGAAUGUGUUGGUACUUUUUCCCCUGGCCUAAAUUUGAGUGUGGUGAUAAAAUAUAGAAAACAUUUCUGUGAAAUUCUCUCUAUUUCUUUUUGUUGACUUGAGUUUAAAUGUAACUAAACAACAUAGUAAGUGGGAUUUCCUCUGUUUUUGAUAAUUUAUAUCUUUAUUUUUUAAAAUUAUAUAGUUUAGAUUAAAUUGUGUAUUUUAAUUAUUGAUUAAUAUUUCACCAAGUGCAAUUUGUUUACUAAAUUUUAUCGUAUAGAUAUAUGUUCUAUUGUUGUUAAAAAGGAUAUAUGUUCUAUUUUACUAUAUUGGUGGUCUUAUAAAAAGGCGACAGCCAUAGUUGUAGAAUGAGUUUAUGAUUGAGAAAUCACCAACGAUCACCACCCCUUUAUACAAAAGCACAUAACAAAGACAUAAGUCGUGAAAGGUUUGCUCAGUAGCGUGGUUGGAUGAGGUUAACAUAUGAAUAGUAUUGUAAAAAAGGACUGUUUAGUUUCAUGUUGUAUUGAUUAUUUUACAUUAUGGGAUAUUUGAAAGAGAUGGUGGAAUUUACGUCGUUAGAUAUAUAAGUUCGAACGUACGUGAGCUGUUUUUUAUAGAGCAGUUAGAGACAUUGAGCUAUUACGUUUGUUAAUGUGGAUGAUUUACAUUGAGCUAUUACGUUUGUUAUUACGUCUGUUUUUUUUUGUAAUUUUCUGUAAUGAAUAUUGGAUGAUUAUUGAUUUAUAUACUUCUAAAUUUUGGAAUUCAAAGAAAAUAUUUUUAUUCACCAUUUUUUUGUUUACAGUCAUUAACUUUGUUUUUAAGAACAAUCAGAUUAUUAUGGUCUUUGAAAUUAUGUUCUCUUUUUAUACUUUCUGACUUGAUAUACUUGGGUAAUGUACAUGAUUUCAGCGCUCAAGAAUCUGUGGAGUGAAUAGUGAUCCUUUUCAGUGUCACUUAUGUGGAAAAGGUAGUGAACCACAGCAAUGGAAGUAGCCGUUCGCGUCAUACCAAAACCGUUUUGAGAUCUGAGCCUCUCUGAUUAGAUAUUCACCCCAAUCCGUUCUCCCAAACUCUUUAUGUAUCUCUCGUCCAUCGAAAGUC